Molecule: transfer RNA, 97 nt
Filed under: Ralstonia mannitolilytica
Lineage: Bacteria; Pseudomonadati; Pseudomonadota; Betaproteobacteria; Burkholderiales; Burkholderiaceae
Description: tRNA-Arg
Source: RNAcentral
CCAGAUCUGGCCGAUCGGGUUGGCAAUGCCCUGGCCCGCGAUGUCAGGCGCCGAGCCGUGCACCGGCUCGAACAGGCUCGGAUACGUGCGAUCCGGG